RNAcentral lists this ribosomal RNA (498 nucleotides) under uncultured bacterium. Its description in RNAcentral is "partial 16S ribosomal RNA". It matches the Rfam family "Bacterial small subunit ribosomal RNA", at positions 30 to 523 of the family's 1533-position model. The record is from RNAcentral.
AUUGAACGCUGGCGGCAUGCCUUACACAUGCAAGUCGAACGGCAGCACGGGGCAACCUGGUGGCGAGUGGCGAACGGGUGAGUAAUGCAUCGGAACGUACCUUUCAGUGGGGGAUAACGUAGCGAAAGUUACGCUAAUACCGCAUAUUCUGUGAGCAGGAAAGCAGGGGAUCGCAAGACCUUGCGCUGAUUGAGCGGCCGAUGUCAGAUUAGGUAGUUGGUGAGGUAAAGGCUCACCAAGGCGACGAUCUGUAGCGGGUCUGAGAGGAUGAUCCGCAACACUGGAACUGGGACACGGUCCAGACUACUACGGGAGGCAGCAGUGGGGAAUUUUGGACAAUGGGGGCAACCCUGAUCCAGCCAUGCCGCGUGAGUGAAGAAGGCCUUCGGGUUGUAAAGCUCUUUCGGCCGGGAAGAAAUCGCACGGGCUAAUACCCUGUGUGGAUGACGGUAUCGGAAUAAGAAGCACCGGCUAACUACGUGCCAGCAGCCGCCGUAA